AACGGACGCUGGCGGCAUGCCUAACACAUGCAAGUCGAACGAAGGCUUCGGCCUUAGUGGCGCACGGGUGCGUAACGCGUGGGAAUCUGCCCUUUGCUUCGGAAUAACAGUUAGAAAUGACUGCUAAUACCGGAUGAUGUCGCAAGGCCAAAGAUUUAUCGGCAAAGGAUGAGCCCGCGUAGGAUUAGCUAGUUGGUGGGGUAAAGGCCUACCAAGGCGACGAUCCUUAGCUGGUCUGAGAGGAUGAUCAGCCACACUGGGACUGAGACACGGCCCAGACUCCUACGGGAGGCAGCAGUGGGGAAUAUUGGACAAUGGGCGAAAGCCUGAUCCAGCAAUGCCGCGUGAGUGAUGAAGGCCUUAGGGUUGUAAAGCUCUUUUACCCGGGAUGAUAAUGACAGUACCGGGAGAAUAAGCUCCGGCUAACUCCGUG
This 433-nucleotide ribosomal RNA is filed under the name uncultured bacterium. RNAcentral describes it as "partial 16S ribosomal RNA". It matches the Rfam family "Bacterial small subunit ribosomal RNA", at positions 29 to 507 of the family's 1533-position model. The record is from RNAcentral.